GCCAAGUCUGUCAGCUUAAGAAGGUCCUUGCCUGUUAUGGGUUUUCCGCCUUCGGUGGCAUUGAUCAAGAAAGCUGGGAUCUCAUUCUCUUUCAACUGUGCGUGGAGGGCCUUGGCCAAGUCCAAGGGAUCGAUCGGUGAGGGUCCCUUGCUGUAUGUUGGAACAAACUUUCCAUCCUGAUAGCCGGCCAGAAAAUGAUAGGCGGCUUGGCCUGGGGAGAGCUUUGAUACGGAAGGAAGAACACCGGUACUGUCAGCAGACACGAAGAUAACAGAAGCAGGCUUUUUUGGCAGAUCUAUCUUCGGGGAGCCUUUGGCCUGGAAGUAGGGUGUAACGCCAUCCGAAGAAAGAAUUACACCACUAUCAUCGGACACAAGAGACUUUUGUAUAUCCGGGCAGUUUUUAAUGGUAUCUUCCGACGCAAAUAACAAAAUCGCAGAAUCACCAGAUGCAAGAACCCUUGCAGAAACAGGAACGCCUCCCCUUGCAGAUACUAUGGGAGCAGCCAAAGCAGCGAGAGCAUCUUUUGUAACUUUAGUAUCAGCAAAUGCUUUACCACAUAAGAUAAGGGAUGAACGUUCUAUAUCA
This 588-nucleotide unclassified non-coding RNA is filed under the name Hevea brasiliensis (rubber tree). The record is from RNAcentral. Lineage: Eukaryota; Viridiplantae; Streptophyta; Magnoliopsida; Malpighiales; Euphorbiaceae.